GGCUCAGUGGUAGAGCGCUUGCCUUGCAUGCAUGAGGCCCGGGGUUCGAUUCCUCA
Molecule: transfer RNA, 56 nt
Filed under: Dipodomys ordii (Ord's kangaroo rat)
Lineage: Eukaryota; Metazoa; Chordata; Mammalia; Rodentia; Heteromyidae
Rfam family: tRNA
About the family: Transfer RNA (tRNA) molecules are approximately 80 nucleotides in length. Their secondary structure includes four short double-helical elements and three loops (D, anti-codon, and T loops). Further hydrogen bonds mediate the characteristic L-shaped molecular structure. tRNAs have two regions of fundamental functional importance: the anti-codon, which is responsible for specific mRNA codon recognition, and the 3' end, to which the tRNAs corresponding amino acid is attached (by aminoacyl-tRNA synthetases). tRNAs cope with the degeneracy of the genetic code in two manners: having more than one tRNA (with a specific anti-codon) for a particular amino acid; and 'wobble' base-pairing, i.e. permitting non-standard base-pairing at the 3rd anti-codon position.
Source: Rfam by way of RNAcentral